Pteropus alecto (black flying fox) is the source of this 4105-nucleotide long non-coding RNA. RefSeq lists it as uncharacterized. The record is from RefSeq and is a predicted model, not a curated record. Lineage: Eukaryota; Metazoa; Chordata; Mammalia; Chiroptera; Pteropodidae. The transcript has 3 exons.
GGAGGAAAGCAAGUCAGACAGGGCUCUAUUAGAAACAGAGGGCCUGGCAGUUCCUAAUUGUCCUCAUCUGUUAGUCUCUGAUAAUAGGACCUGAUGUCCAGCUUAAAACAAGUUUCUUUUGCCUCAGGCUGAUGGAGUUUGGAAGUCACCAUUCCAACCUAAUAACAAGUAAGAAGCUGAACAGAAGAAAAAGAAACAAUUUUUCCUGGGUCCAGAAGAGAGGGGAAGACACAGAGAAAACUGCAUCCUCUAGAACUGAAGAGAAUAAUAGGCAAAUAUAGGGAAUGCAACUUCUGGGAGCAGAGACUCAGGGUGAAGCUGCUGUAGGAACUGGUGCUCAGGUAGGAAAACUUGAAUUGUAAUUAAUGAAAUGCUGGAGUGGAGGCUCAGUGCACACAACUCCGAAAGCUAAGAACUCCAGGGAGAGCCAGUCAUGGAAGGCCCCACCAUAUUGUGAAAUUUACCUCCAGGAGCUCAAACAGAUUCCCACAGUAAAUACCAAGAAAACUCCUUGGGCUUCCUUCUGCCAAAAGGAGGGGAAAAGGAAGCAUUCUGAAGUACACUAGUGAACUCCGUUCUUCUUAACAAGACCUACCCUCAGGGGAAACUGGUUAACCAGAGUCUAACCUGCUGGGGUAUUAUCAGAGCCUACCUUACCUGGGGAAUGUACAGCAGUACCUUUUAACCAGUACAUCAUGCCCAACUAUCAAGAAAAAUUACAAGAUAUAGCAAAAGGCAAAAACAAAACAAAACAAAAACAAAACAAAACAAAACAAAAAACAAAACAAAAACACAACAAUCUGAAGAGACAGAGCAAACAUCAGAACCAGAUGGCAGAGAUACUAGAUACUAGACUGGAAAUUUAAAACAAUUAUCAUUAAUAUGCUAAGGACUCUAAUGGAUAAAGUAGACAACAUUCAAGAACGGAUGGGCGAUGUGAGAAUAGAGAUGGAAUUCCUAAGAAAGAACCACAAAGAAAUGCUAGAGCUCAAAAAUCCUAACAGAAAUGAAUAAUGCCUUUAUCAGUUUAUUAGUAAACUAAACAUGGCUGAGGAAAGACUCUAUGAACUAAAGGAUAUAUGAAUAGAAUCUUUGAAAGCUAAAAAGCAAAGAGAACCAAGAUUGAAAACUACAGAAUAUCCAAGGAAUGUGAGACAACUGCAAAGACUAUGACAUGUGCAUGAUGGGAAUACUACAAGAAUAAAGAAAGAAAGGAAUAGAAGAAAAAUUUGAAACAAUAAUGACUGGGAGUUUUCCCCAAAUUAAUGUUAGAAAGCAAACCACAGAUCCAGGAAGCUCAGAGAAUAUCAAACAGGACAAAUGCCAAGAAAACUGUGUCACAUCAUUUUCAAAUUAUAGUAAAUCAGAGAGAAAAAUCUCGAAAGAAGCCAGGGGAGAAAAACACCUUACCGAAAGAGGAACAAAGGUAAGAAUUACAUCCAGCUUCUCCUCAGAAAUCAUGCGAGCAAGAAAAAGAACUUAAGAGUUGAGAGAAAAAACCACCAACCUAGAAUUCUGUACCCUGUGAAAUUAUCCUGCAAAAGUGAAGGAAAUAAAGACUUUUUCAAACAAAAAUUGAGGAACUUUAUUGCCAGUAGACCUCCCUUGCAAGAUAUGUUAAAAGAAGCUCUUUAGAAAGAAGGAAAAUAUUAUAGGUCUAAAAUUCAGAUCUGCAUAAAGAAGAGCACUGACCAAGGAAAAAAGAACCCAAGAAGUGGUCAACUAAUCAACUGGCAAGUUGCUACAGAAAAGUAAGAAUGAAAAGAUAAGGAGCCAAACCAACUCACUAACUGGACAGUCAGGUUCUGAACAGCUGAACUUUAUGUCAUGCAGGUGCACUUGAGACAGCAAGGCUGUGAUGGUGUGGUAGGGACUAGGAGAGUUCUAAACAAAUCCCAAAAGAAGACUGGAGUCAAAAUUCCAGACAGUAAGGGCUAGGGAUCAAGAACUGGUCAGUUACACAUGCCAGGGACAGACAUUCAUAAGAGAAGUCAGAAGACCAUAUCCUGAGGCAAAAGGGUGGAAAUAGCCCAGAGGUACAAAAUAAAAACAAAUGACUGAGGGUCAAAGGGGUCCUUGGUGAAGAACUAGUCAGGAACUAAGAGAAUCACUGUGAGGCAGGGCUUAGCAAUAAGCAACAAGAAACUCUGAAGUCAGGGAUAAAAAAAAUGAAGUAGCCAGGAAAACUUCAGAAGUGAAGUAACUAUGCAGGAUGGGGUCUGAUGCUCAGGUAGGUCUGAGUUUUAUACCUGAGUUUUAUACCUUAGAGGUCUUCUAUUAUACCUGCAGGGGCAGGUUCCAAUUGUCAGGGUGUAGGCAAUGCUGGGUCUAUUAAAUUCAGUCUAAACGGGACAGCAUUUAGUUGAAGAGGGGAAAAUAUAAUAGCUUAAUGGAAGUUCAGUUUUUGACACAAGCCAACAUGAGAAAACUCAGUUUGUAGAUAGAUUAUGCUCUUUAUAAACUGUAAGAAAGUAGCUCAGGUAUAGGCACACAGAGACAGAGAGAAAAGGAGUUAGCUUUGUUGAAUCAAAGAAAUUGCUAAGUGAUUAGAGCACAUGAUGCAAGAAAUGUGACAAAUGAUCAAAUCUGUGUUUCAGAAAGAGUUUCCUAAUGGUGUUAGAGAUGGAGAAUGAGAGCAAGGCUAGAGGCCAAAGAUGGUGUGAGAGGGUGCUGCAAUGGUUCAGAAAAAAUGACAAUAUCUCAAAUUAAGCUAGGGGCAAAGGGGGUAAGUGAGAUGGAUCUGAGAAAUAGGUAUGAGGCAAGAUGGAGAACACCUGGUGACUGAUUAGAUAGGAAUACAAGAGAGUGAGGAGCAGAAGAAAACUCCAAGAUUUCUGGCUGAGAUAACAAAGAGAAGAGUGUCCUACACUGACAGAAGGACUCUAGACAAAAAACAGGUUUCGGGGACUACAGCAGGGUGAGGAAAGAAUUCAGUUUUGAAUAUAAUGAGUUUGAGGUGGCCGGCUGUGAGACAUUUGGAGAGAUAAUGAGAAAGAAGUUAGAUAUAAGGGUAUGGUGCCAUAAGAGAGAAAUGGACCAUAGAUUUGAGAGUCAGGAACCUAUCGGUAUACUUUAAAGAAGAGAGGAGAUGUGAUUGCACUGGGAGUAUACAGAAUGAAGGAGACAAGAAGAUGAGAGAAGAUUGAAGUUAAAAUCCAAGCAAAUAAUAGCUCUCUGACUUCGGGCCAUUUCUGCUCUGGACUUCAUAUGUAAAAUGAGAAAGUUGGAUUAGGCCAGUAGUUCUCAACUAUGGUUGCAGGUUAGAAUCAUUGGAGAGUCUUUAAAAUAUACCAGUGCUAGUCCUAGUCGCCAGUGGCACUGAUUUAAGUGGCACGGUGGGAUCUAGGCAAGCCUAUUAUUGAAGAGCUCUUGGGCUUUCCAAUGUGCAGCUAAAGUUGAAAAUCACUAGCCAAGAUAAUCUCCAAGUUCUCUUCCAAUUGUUAACCAUUGCUCUUUUAGAUUGGUUCCCCUCUGUCUUUUGGCUCUUGCCAUUCUGAAUUCAGAAUUCUAGCAGGCAUGUUCACUCUUAAUCUCCUCAUUAUGUUUGAAGAUUUGCCUGAUUUCCUGACCUCUUUCUUUACUUAGAAAUGGACUCUACACAGGAAUUCCUCUGGGGCACAUUCAGGCUUUGGCUGCAGUGAACAGGCUGCUGUUAUAUAUUUAGUUCCCUACUUAGUGAGUGCUUCUGAAAAAUAAAUGGAAAGUUAAUUUAAUAACCUCGAACCUUUAUUUUAUUAUCAAUGUAUAAAACAUCAGAAGCUUAAUUAAAAGCACUUGACAUUAUCAGCACUCAAUCACAAUCUAACUUUUAUACUGUAUAUAUUUGGAUGGUGUCCCUAAGGUAAUAUUUAUUCAAGAUCACAAAGAAGAAAAAACAGGUCCCUGGAUUUUAACAUGAACCUCAAAAUUUAGAAAUCAGUUUAAAAAAUUCAAUGAUGUGAAAUAUGUUUGGUAAUCAAAAUAACCAAAACUACUCAGAAAAGCAGACCAAUUUCAAAAUCUCAUCUGUUUUUCCUUUAUAAGGCACACAUAAUACCUUCAUGUUCAAUGAGAAAUAACUAAGGACAUAGAGAAAAUAAAGAAUAAUAAGACUGCUCUAACUCUA